AGAGUUUGAUCAUGGCUCAGGAUGAACGCUGGCGGCGUGCCUAAUACAUGCAAGUCGAACGGGGGUCCGCAAGGAUCCUAGUGGCGAACGGGUGAGUAACGCGUUGGUGACCUGCCCCGGAGAGAGGGAUACCAGGCCGAAAGGCUUGCUAAUACCACAUGCCCAGUCGAGGGAUUAGAAGCUUGACUGGAAAGGAGAAAUCCGCUCUGGGAGGGGCCUGCGACCCAUCAGCUAGUUGGUAAGGUAACGGCCUACCAAGGCGAUGACGGGUAGGGGACCUGAGAGGGUGGCCCCCCACAAUGGAACUGAAACACGGUCCAUACACCUACGGGUGGCAGCAGUAGGGAAUAUUGCUUAAUGGGCGCAAGCCUGAAGCAGCAACGCCGCGUGUGCGAUGAAGGCCUUCGGGUUGUAAAGCACUUUUGAUCGGGAAGAGGAAGGACGGUACCGGUCGAAUAAGCCUCGGCUAACUACGUGCCAGCAGCCGCGGUAAAACGUAGGAGGCGAGCGUUAUCCGGAUUUACUGGGUGUAAAGCGCGUGCAGGCGGUGGGCUAAGUUGGAUGUGAAAGCUCCUGGCUCAACUGGGAGAGGUCGUUCAAAACUAGCCGACUGGAGAGCAGUAAGGGAAGGUGGAAUUCCGGGUGUAGUGGUGAAAUGCGUAGAUAUCCGGAGGAACACCAGUGGCGAAGGCGGCCUUCUGGACUGCAUCUGACGCUCAGACGCGAAAGCUAGGGGAGCAAACGGGAUUAGAGACCCCGGUAGUCCUAGCCGUAAACUAUGUGAACUUGGCGCUGGGCGGGUAAAACUGUUCAGUGCCGGAGCAAACGCGAUAAGUUCACCACCUGAGGACUACGGCCGCAAGGUUAAAACUCAAAGGAAUUGACGG
This 887-nucleotide ribosomal RNA is filed under the name uncultured bacterium. Its description in RNAcentral is "bacterial SSU rRNA". It matches the Rfam family "Bacterial small subunit ribosomal RNA", at positions 8 to 916 of the family's 1533-position model. The record is from RNAcentral.